GCCUUAUACAGCCUUCUUGGAAGCUUUGGUUUCUCCACCUGAACCACAGCCAUGUGAUACCUAGGACACCAGAGAACAAGAAAAAUGAGAAGACAAGUGUGUUUGCCUGUAGAGCAUCGUACACAGCAGGCUUACCUGGGUGCUCCAUGGAAUCAGCAGACUUGGCAGAAAAAUGAGAAGAGAAAAAUCCUAAUAUUAAACCAAAUGUUUUAGCUCAGUUUCUUAUAUCCUUUUUGAAGGAUGUGGCAAUUACUAAGUAGGUUGCCACCGUUUAUAACCAGUUGGAAACUGAGCAUCUAGUGACCACAUUUUUAUAUAAGGAGGACUACAAGUAUCACAGGUACCCAUGUCAUGCUGACCACAGGAUUUCUGACAACAUUUAGCACAGCGUUUAUGUCAUGCAUUUUGUUGAUCCUGGAGCAGAGGGUGAGUGACAUGUUCCCAAAAAACAAGACUUGAGAAAAUUUGCUGAAUUUAUCACUGGUGAGUUAUAAAUGCUCUCUGCUGAAUACACAUUCACUAAUUUAUAUUCCCAAUCAUAGAUAACAUGAUGAAGUCCAGAGGUACAUAUUGGGGCAAUAUUAAUUAAAGUAUUGAAUAUUACUGUAAUGUGAAGCUCAGUUGUUUUAAUA
Long non-coding RNA from Alligator mississippiensis (American alligator), 632 nucleotides. RefSeq lists it as uncharacterized. The record is from RefSeq and is a predicted model, not a curated record. The transcript has 3 exons. NCBI's taxonomy places the organism in Eukaryota, Metazoa, Chordata, Crocodylia, Alligatoridae.